This 459-nucleotide ribosomal RNA is filed under the name uncultured bacterium. RNAcentral describes it as "partial 16S ribosomal RNA". It matches the Rfam family "Bacterial small subunit ribosomal RNA", at positions 338 to 795 of the family's 1533-position model. The record is from RNAcentral.
CCUACGGGAGACAGCAGUGAGGAAUAUUGGUCAAUGGUCGGGAGACUGAACCAGCCAAGCCGCGUGAGGGAUGAAGGUACAGAGUAUCGUAAACCUCUUUUGUCAGGGAACAAAGGCGGGGACGUGUCCCCGGAUGAGUGUACCUGAAGAAAAAGCAUCGGCUAACUCCGUGCCAGCAGCCGCGGUAAUACGGAGGAUGCGAGCGUUAUCCGGAUUUAUUGGGUUUAAGGGGUGCGCAGGCGGUCUGUUAGGUCAGCGGUAAAAGCCCGGGGCUCAACCCCGGCCCGCCGUUGAAACUGGCAGUCUCGAGUUGGAGAGAAGUAUGCGGAAUGCGCGGUGUAGCGGUGAAAUGCAUAGAUAUCGCGCAGAACUCCGAUUGCGAAGGCAGCAUGCCGGCUCCACACUGACGCUGAGGCACGAAAGCGUGGGUAUCGAACAGGAUUAGAUACCCGAGUAGUC